This is a long non-coding RNA of Carassius auratus (goldfish), 340 nucleotides long. RefSeq lists it as uncharacterized. The record is from RefSeq and is a predicted model, not a curated record. The transcript has 3 exons. NCBI's taxonomy places the organism in Eukaryota, Metazoa, Chordata, Actinopteri, Cypriniformes, Cyprinidae.
UGGAAAAAAACACAUGCUAGUGACAUCAGCAUCAUCUACACACCUGCUAGUGACAUCAUGCUCCUCUUCACCUGCUAGUAACUUGCCUGCUUUGUGAUAAGCAAAUUUUGCUAUCUUCUAAUUCUGAACCCAUCAGAAAUCACCAACCCCUCCUGACAUAUCUUUCCAGUUUGGGGGCAAUUAACCUAUACCAGGCCACAGAGAGGUUCUUCAUUUGGGUCCACUACUUUGCCAUCUGCACCGAGGUGUGGAGCAUCAGGGUGGAUGAUGAGACUAGAUGGAGUAACGUUAACGUCAAAGGUCUCCUGGUAGCUGUGAAGAACCUCUGGCUCAAGUUUCA